GAUGAACGCUGGCGGCGUGCCUAAUACAUGCAAGUCGAGCGAACAGAUAAGGAGUUUGUUCCUUUGACGUUAGCGGCGGACGGGUGUGUAACAUGUGGAUAACCUACCUAUAAGACUGGUAUAACUUCGGGAAACCGGGGCUAAUGCCGGAUAACAAGUAGAACCGCAGGGUUCUAAAGGGAAAGAUGGUUUUUCUAUCACUUAUAGAUGGACCCGUGCCGUAUUAGCUAGUUGGUAAGCUAACGGCUUACCAAGGCAACUAUACGUAGACGACCUGAGAGGGGGAUAGCCCACCUGGGAACGGAGACACCGUCCAGAGUCCUAAGGGAGGCCGCAGUCGGCAACCUGAGGCAGUGGGCGGAAGCAUGGCACAGCAACGGCGAGCCUGUGAUGAAGGCGCUCGGUUCGUAAAGAUCGGUUACUAGGGAAGAACCACUGUGUGCGUAGAUGUGGCGGUCUUGACGGUACCUGCAGAGAAAGCACCGGCUAACUACGUG
RNAcentral lists this ribosomal RNA (497 nucleotides) under uncultured bacterium. RNAcentral's name for it is "partial 16S ribosomal RNA". It matches the Rfam family "Bacterial small subunit ribosomal RNA", at positions 28 to 507 of the family's 1533-position model. The record is from RNAcentral.